Cydia strobilella is the source of this 501-nucleotide long non-coding RNA. RefSeq lists it as uncharacterized. NCBI's taxonomy places the organism in Eukaryota, Metazoa, Arthropoda, Insecta, Lepidoptera, Tortricidae. The record is from RefSeq and is a predicted model, not a curated record. The transcript is spliced from 2 exons.
UUUUCACAGAUGAUGUAUUUCUGUUGCCGCUACAACAACAAAUACGAAAAAGUAUGGAACCCUCGGUGGGCGAGUCCGACUCGCACUUGACCGGUUUUUAGGGUUCAGUAGCCGAAUGGCAAAAAACGAAACCCUUAUGGAUUUGUCAUGUCUGUCUGUCUGUCCGUCCGAAUGUCACAGCCACUUUUUUCCGAAACUAUAAGAACUAUACUGUUGAAACUUGGUAAAUGUAUUCUGUGAACCGCAUUAAGAUUUUCACACAAAAAUAGAAAAAAAAACAAUAAAUUUUGGGGGUUCCCCAUACUUUAUCAUUUUUUUCUAAACUGAAUAGUUUGCGCGAGAGACACUUCCAAAGUGGUAAAAUGUGUCUCCCCCCCCCUGUAAAUUCUAAAAUAAGAGAAUGAUAAAAAAAUAAAUAUAUGAUAUACAUUACCAUGCAAACUUCCACCGAAAAUUGGUUUGAACGAGAUCUAGUAAGUAGUUUUUUUAAUACGUCUUAAA